CACAACCGCGCUAAGGAGCCCGCCGAUGCACUGUGCGAACGCGUCCUGAAUCGCACUCUCAGUUUCAAUAAAAGAGAAGGUUCCACUAGAUGUCUCGGCGAUCGAAUGCAAGGCAGUUGAAUCGUGAUCGGUGCCAAAUCCAAAGGCGUGGAUCGGAAUUCUUUGGCCUGAGCCAAAGAAUGGAUAACGGGAUAAGCGGCCUAUAGUCUAUAGAGGCUCCGCUAUUGUUAGAGGAGAUGGUGUACGUAUCUUGUCCAUCGGAAAGAAGGAUUAUGCUACCAACUGGAUUCUUAAGACGCCGUUGAUCGAACACCUUGGCAGCUUUCUUCAAUCCCUCUGCUAUGUUGGUGCCGCCGUUAGCAACCAGCGAUCGAAUUGACAGCUUGCAGGGCUGCAUGCCUACCAAUCUCUGACAUACGACGGAGGUGGAAGAGCCGACGGGCCAUGGAUGAAAAUGCAAUGACGGAGAGCCGAUCAGACGGACCGAGAUUUUGGAUCACAAACCCUAAUGCGCGCUUCAAAAGUGCAAGUUUCGUUCCCGCCAUGCUGCCACUUACAUCAAUGACCGCGACGAGGUCUAUAGGAGCACGCGAAGAUUGCACGCUCGUCGAAGUAGGAUGAGGGGCUUUGACAUGUAUCAAUAUAGUAAAGUCUUCGUGCGAUGAUGAUUGUGGAAUCGCAGAGAAUUCCGGAUAUGUCCUUAACUCCACUCUUCUAUCAGAUUCAGUUUGGGGAAUUUGAACUGUUUCGGACUGCAAAACUAUAGGCUCAUCAUCAUUGAAAGCGGCCGGCUCUUCAUCACGGUAGAGAGGAAGGUACCGGUGCACCUGGCUCACAAAGUCUACGACUGGGUUCGCUUGAGCUUGUCCGAGAGUUACGUCAAAGGCGGGGGGGCUGAGGAGGGGAAUCUCACUCCAUUUGGCUCUACAAACCGGACACAGAGAAUUACCGUGCUUUAUGCUCGAUGAGAUGCAGUGGAAGUGGAACAUAUGAGAGCAUUCUGCAGUGAAGAGCGCAUGGCCGCAGCCGGCCGGUUUCAUGGCACAAAGGCAUAUGGCACAUAUUCUCUGAAAAUGUGCUUUUUUUUAAUGAGACUUGUUAGGGAACUUGUAUAAACAUGUGAAAUAGAAAAUAGAUUACAAAAAUAACAAGAUUGCAUCUGGUAUAAUAGGUUUCAUAUUUAGAGCUGAAGGGUGAACUAGAAAAAACAAAUGUACUCAAACUAGAUAACAAAUAUAUAAAAAAUUGAUCAUACAGGCUAAAUUUUGCUUACAUAGAACAGAACAAGGUACAAAAUUGAAGCGCUAAUUUUAAGCAAUAAUGCACCAAAAGAAAGUUAAUAUGGUUACUAGGAAUUUCAUUAUCAGCAAAGUCAAACACAAAUAUAUACUAAACAUUUUAGAAAAUGAUAGAUCCAAAAUCUUCUUCUGGUUUUUUUUUUUUUUUUUUUUUUUUUUUUUGUCUCAUAUUAAACAGAUUAUCAAAAGGAGUUCCAGGGCCUUUCACUCAACUGAAUACCAGUGAUUAGAACUUGCAUCCUAUAUGUAAUUGUACACUGCGUACGUACAUAUUAUACAUACAAAGAAAUGUGUCCGAUUACAUUUAAAUAUAGCCAGAUAAAUAGCAGGCGAUCAUAAAAAGAAGCACAAAAUAGGGCUUGGAUAACAGAGCAAAGUAUCUGCAAGAUAGAAGUAUGAGUUAUUUAACUACCCAAUACCAUAUAACAGACUCAGAGAUAGGGAUGCAAACGGAUCCGGGUUGGUGGAGCUCCGGCCCCGAUCCGCCCCGACGGGAGCAGUAAAUGAGAGAAAAUAAACGGAUUCGGGGCAGGAAACGGGAUAAGUUUUACGAUCCGAGACGGAUUCGGGGCAGAAAACGGGAAAAAUUUUGACCCGCCCCGAAUCCGCCCCGCCCCGAAUCCGCCCCGAAUAUCAUUUGUAUUUUUAAAAAAUAUUCCCCAAAAAUAAUUAUUUAUAAAAAAGUUUAAAAUACAAAUAAAUUAUUACUCUCAUUUCUAUGUAUUUGAAAUAUUUGAAUUUUGUUUUGAAUUGUGAUUGAUAUUUUUAAUUUUUACCAUUAAUAUUAUUAAAUUAUAUAUAUAAUAUUAUUAAAAAUUAUUAAUUUAUAUUUUACAAAAUAUUAAUAAUAUUAUAAUUUUAUAAAAAAUAUUAGUUGGCGGGCGAUUCGGGGCGCCGGCGGGAGGCGGUUACGAGGCGGGGCGGAUUAUGGGAUGUAUUUUUUAACCGCUCACGGAUUCGGGGCGGGAGGCGGGACGGAAUUUUGCUAGUCGGGGCGGAGCGGGGGUUGUCUUCCGCCGCCAGAUCCGCCCCGUUUGCAUCCCUACUCAGAGAUGAUCUAAAAGUAUACAACACCAGUUAAUCCUCUAAAACAUUAACAUCAACAAAGAAUAUAAUAUCCUACACAAUUUUUGUCUUCGAAUUUUUGUUUGUUAUAAUUUCUGACCGGAGUUAUGAGAUGCGCGACAUUUUAGCCGUCGAACUGUAGUUGCAAUUUUUUGUUCGAACUAUAAGGCGUAUGGCACUUUAGUUCUCAAACUUUUCGAAUUAUUACAAUUAAGAUUCACCGUCCAUUUUUUUUUUUUUAAAUAAGCGUUGAUGAAGUACUAAUAUUAAAAUAAUAUAAUAUUUUAAUUAUUAUUAUAUUAUUAAGUAUGAUAUUUUUAUGAUUUAGAAAGUUCGAGAACUAAAAUAUUACAUAUCUUAUAAUUCGUACAAAAAAUUAUAACUAAUUAAAGUUCGAAAUUAAAAUAUCACGCUCCUCGUUCGAGUCAAAAAUUACAACGAAUUAAAGUUCGAUGACUAAAUUAAGUAUUGCACUCCUAGUAGUUUUUAGACCAAAAGUGUAAUUUACUUUUAUUUUAUUUUAUUUUAUUUUUUCGUCAUCUUGGUGUGGGUACUGCCUAGACCACAAUGUAAUUCCCUCCCACAUUCCUGAAUUGAAUCUUGGACUUUUUUUAAGAUGAGCAUCAGAUGGGUAAUAUGAUUUUCAAGGGGCCCAACACGGUGGGAAAACUCCUUUGUGAGUGGCUGAGAAGGAAUUCGCAGAGAACUCCUACAUGAUUGGCUGUUCAAAACUGUUGGGUUUAUCCUUUCGGUCAUUGAUUGUGUUCAUCUGAUCAUUUGAGGAAGAAGUAGAGAGCUAGCUACACAGGAAACAUGGCUUUGGCCUUGGUAGCUGAGUCCGCGGCAUCGGUCGUAAUCGAGAAGCUGAUCAGCACAGCCGUAUCCUACGUCGGGACGUGCGGUGCCGGGCCGAGCACCAUGCAGGACGAGAUCCAGAGGCUUCAGCAGGCUUUUCUGCGGAUUCGAACGAUCUUGGCUUUCGUCGAGGGGGGGCAGACCGUCACUACGAAGCAAAACGACGUACUGGACGCCUGGCUGUGGCAGCUCAGAGACGCUGUCGAUCAGGCGGAGGACGUGCUCGAUGAGAUGGAGUACUACGAGCUGGAGAAGGCAGUGCAAGCUGGAGAUAACAAGGUACUGUCGGGGGUUAAAGUCUGGAAUUUGAUUUAAUUUUACAGAUUUUUGAUUAAAUCAACUAACAAAUAAAUAUUAAAUUAAAGACAAAAUUAAAUUAAUAGAUAAAAGGUUUCGAAAAAUAGCAAGGUGAGACGUGCAAUAAAGUAACUUUAGUCUCUCUGCGUGUUUGUCUUCGGCUAGUUGCUCUAGCAACACAAUACUUCGAAUUAUUCCGAUCUGCUUAAUUGUACGGUCUCAAAGAAGUGCCUAAUUUAAUAUCAAUUCGACUUUCAAAAUUUCAACUUUCGAAAAUAAGAUAUGAUAGAGUAAAAUUUUUUUUUUAAUUACAAUCUCGUAUAUAUCUCUUUUUUAUUAUUAUAUCUCGUAUAUAUCUCGUAUAAUAAUAUAUAAACUUGACGGUCGAAAGAACGAUGUAGGACCUUCUGCUAAAGAGGGAUACACUAUCCCGCAUCUCGUGGAAAGCUGUGUACCCCAUUUUUCCGAUAGAGGAGAGAGAAUACGUUGCGUAACUAAAGGUGUCCGUGGACCGCGUCAGGUUUGGGUAGUUGAUAUACUAUACCCGUACCCUAAAACGAGAUGGAUACGAAAACAAAAACUAUACCCUACCCAUUUGACUUCGGAUCGGAUUCGGGUCUGAAUACUUAAAUUAAUAAUAUACCAAUCAGGUCUAUUUGAGCGGGUCUGGAUAGUGAUUACCUAUAUACUAUCCGCUUAAAAUCGAAUGCUAGGGUCUAGAUCGGGUAUGGGUACCAUAUGUAUAUAUUUUUUAUAAAUUUUAUUAAACAAUUUAUAGACAAAUUAUAAACCUAUCAUGAUAAAAAACCCACGUUUAAUUAGUUGCACCUAGUCCAAUAAAAUUCGUUUAAAAAAAAAGAUUCAAAUAGUAAACAGCUACAAUUAAAAAAUGAGUUAAAAAAAAAAGAGUAAACAAAAAGACCAGGGUUUUCACUAGGAUGAAAAUAUACAGAGAUCCUUCAUUUCUAAGUCCUAUUGAAAUUGAUCGCUCAACUUUAGAUUUUUUAUUUGCUAUCGGGUAUUUUACCGGGUCCAGAUCCGAGUCCGGUUCCGAGUUCGGAUUUGAAACCUCUUCCAUACCCUACCCAUUAAAAGAUCGGGUUCAGGUCCAAGUCGGGUAUGGAUAUAAAGUAUUCGGACCCAUACCUGAAACUUUAAUGGAUAUUCUUUUUUACCCGUAUACUAUCUAUUUUUUAUCGGGUCCGGUUUGGAUCCGGAUAGGGUCCGGAUCGGGUAUGGUAUAUCGGAUAUUUUGGACAGCUUUACGCGUAACUUCCUCAUAUUAAAUAUAUUGCAUUUAAAUUAAAUUUUAAAUUGUCUUUUAAUAAUCUAUUUGAUUUUAAUUAAAUUUCUUAACUUAGACUAAUUCCAACAGGUACAACAAGGUACUGCACUCAACUUAAAAAGGAAGUUUGCUGAUUUUGCUAACAAUAUCUUCGGAAACGACGACACCGUGACGAGGUUGAGGGAGGCCGUGAAGGCGUUAGAUAAUGUUGCUGCUACUAGUGAAACUUUACUCCAGCUUGUUUCGCAGCUAUAUAAUUCGGAUGUUAAGCGUCAACAGGAAGAUGAGAUACGAAAUGCUCGUGAGACUAGCUCCUUUUUAACUGAGGAUACGAUUUGUGGCCGAGACACGGAGAAGGAAAGGAUAGUUGAAUGGUUAACAAAACCGACAAGCGAUGAGCCGGAGAAUGCUUCUGCAACUGUCGAAAAGGUCUCGGCUUUUACGAUCGUUGGCAUGGGUGGGUUGGGAAAAACUACUCUCGCGCAGCUCAUCUACCACGAUGAAAAAGUGCGGCAGUGCUUUGACUUGGUUUUGUGGGUGUGUGUUUCCGAUCAAUUUGAUGUGGCUAUGCUGACAAGAAAGACCUUAGAAGCGGCAGGGGUUUGGGAUAGCCUCGGAGACAAGAGACUUAAUACAAUUCAAGAGAUUCUUAAAGAGAAGCUGAUCUCCAAGAAGUUUCUUCUCGUGCUGGAUGAUGUUUGGAAUGAUGAUAAAAUACUUGAAUGGGAUAAAUUCAUGGCUCCUUUAAAAUUCGGAAAGAAAGGAAGCAAGAUUCUCUUGACAACGCGAAUGAAUUCAGUGGUGAAUACAGUAGCCAAAGUUCUACAAGGUAAAAAAGAAUCUUUAAAAUUGAGUGGGUUAAAAGAAGAUGAUUUUAUACUACUUUUCAAUAAGCAUGCCUUUGCCGGAGAGAACAUUGACAAUCAUAGAAACUUACAGUUGAUUGGUCAACAAAUAGCAAAGAAGCUUGGGGGAUGCCCGUUGGCAGCAAAAAUUUUGGGCGGAUGUCUGAACUCUUGGAUGGAUGAAAAAUAUUGGAGAAGAAUUUUGAAUGAAAAUUUUCUAAAUUUGCGAGAAAGUGAGGACAACAUUAGGAUGAUUCUGAGAUUGACCUAUCAUCAUCUGCCGACAAGCUUGCAAAUUUGCUUUAGAUACUGCAGUAUAUUUCCUAAGGAUUCUUUGUUUGAAAAGAAUGAGCUUAUCCAUGUGUGGAUAGGUUCUGGGUUAAUCAAGAAACAAGUAUAUGAAAAGCGAAGCUUAGAGGAUAUCGGAGAGGAGUAUUUAAACCAUCUAGCAAGAAAAUCCCUUUUUGAUAUCAAAAUAAGCGACUAUGGUUCUGACCGUAAACAACAUUAUGUCAUGCAUGAUCUGUUGCAUGAUCUAGCUCAAUUUGUCUCUUCAGGGGAAUGUAUGGGAGUUGAAGGUGACGGUUCCAGACAAAUUCCAAAAACAAUACGCCACUUAUUUCUCAACAGGGUAAACAGUCGUAUGAUCUCCAAUCUCAAGAACUUACGCACCCUUAUUAUUAUUCAUUCAGACAAGGACUAUGAUGCAGUAGCUUUUAAUGAGGUUCUAAAAGAGUUAAAAAGCUUACGCUUACUACAAGUGAGUAUAGUUGACUAUAAGUUUCCCGAUGAAGUUGGUAAACUCAUUCACCUCCGCUACCUCUCCCUCUGGACUUUCACACAAAAGGAGGUAUCUAUUGUACCUCAAUCUGUGUGUAGACUCUAUCACCGACUUUCGGGGAACUGAAAUAGAUGAUUCGACACUGGAUGGAAUGAGCAAUCUAGUUCAAUUGAGGCUGCUAAAUAUUCCUGCUUUUGUAACAGCCAAGAUUCCUUGGAUCGGCAAAGUAACAUUACUUCAGAACUUAAAUUAUUUCCAUGUCCGUGAGGAGCGCGGCUAUAAUAUAGAUCAAUUAAAAGACCUGCAAAACCUCCGAAAAUUAUGCAUUAGGGGCCUGGAAAAUGUAAGGAGUUCCGAAGAGGCUGCGGAUGCCAACUUGAUUGAGAAAAAAAAUCUUGAUGAAUUGUCACUCGAUUGGUCUAGGAAUCGCUCUGGUGGUCUCGAGGUAGAUCAGCCGCUUCUUGAUAAUUUAAAACCACAUACCAAUCUCAAGACACUUGCAAUCGCAGGAUACGCCGGAGUUAGAUCUCCACAUUGGAUGACGGCGACAUCUCUUUCCAAUGUAACAGAUAUCAAUCUAUACGACUGUAGCAGAUGGGAGAACCUCCCACCUUUUGGGCAACUUCCUUUGCUCAGGCUUCUUAAUUUACAAAGCAUGCGGGCUGUGAAGAAACUAUGGUGCUCAAGAAGUGGUGGUGGUUGCGCCUUUCCAUCACUACAGGAGCUACAAUUGUUUGACAUGCCAGACUUGGAGUUGUUCGAAGGUGAGCACAUGUUUCCUCUGCUUAAUAAAUUGCUUAUACAUUCUUGUCCUAGCUUGAAGGGUUUACCUGCUUUGCCUCUUACUCUAAAUCAACUGGAGAUUAAGGAGGCCGGAUUGACUUCUCUUCCGAUGAUGCAACAAGAUUGCAGUAGCGGCCAAGGACGAGCAUCAUGCUCAUCAUCGCAUCCGGCACUUUCUGAACUAAGAAUUUGUGAGUGCCCCAACCUCACAUCUCUAGAUGGAUUCAUGUUGCAGCAACAAUAUUUUCCAGCCUUGAAGAGUUUAUCCAUUGAAAGAUGUGAAAAUCUAAGGCAUUUGCCGGAAAAAUUCUUCCAAAAACUUCCCUCCCUCGAGCGUUUGACUAUAGAAAUGUGUCCCAAUCGCACGACGCACGGGAUUCUAGACGAUCGAUUGCCCGAGACGCUUGAAAAGCCCACUCUUGUAUCAAACGGCGAUCUCUAUCUGUCGCUACUCGAGUCAUUGCCAAUACUGGCCGCUAUACGCUACUUGUCCAUUGUUGGUUGUGCAAGCAUGACGUCCUUUCCUCUGGCGGAAGUUUUUCCAAGGUUGUCGCAACUCUGCAUCCGGAAUUGUAAGGAACUGUCGUCAGUGGAUGGGCUACAAGCUCUCCCCUCGCUUGAAUCCUUGCAGAUUGGAGGGUGCGACGCGCUCGUCGAGCUUUCACUGUUGCAACCACCAUUAGGCGUCGCUAGUACCAGCCACACAGAUAUGGUGCUGCGCCCUUCAAUGGAUCUUUAUAUCGACCGGCCAGCUCUGUUGCGUCUCGAACCACUGAGAAGCCUCAGCUUUGUUAGCUCACUCAGCAUACAUGAUGGCACCGAACUCACAUCCCUCGACGAGCAAUGGCUGUUGCAAAACCGAAACUCCCUUAAAAGCUUGGAAAUUUUUGAGGCCUCGUCUCUUGUAUCCUUACCAACCAGUAUGAUUGAUCUUCAAGCCCUGCGUCAUUUGACUAUAGAUGAUGCUCCUUUGCUUGAGACGAUUCCAGAGCUGCCCGCCUCAAUGAAUUCUCUAACAAUUACCGGCUGUCGCCCCGAGUUGAAGGAGUACAUAGAAGGCUCCCAAAAAUUCGCCAAUAUUCGUUGGGUGCAGGUUACUGAAAAAUCUCCUUACUAAGAAAAAGAUCGGGUAUGCCCCAUCUCUGUACUAUCUCUAACCCUCUUAAAUGCAACUUUUUCUUCUCAAUAUUAUUUGUAUCUUAGUCUUGUUUUACUACCCUGCUUUUUUUUUUUUUUUUUAAUUUUUGUUCCUCUACUUUCAGCAGCAACAGACUCUUAACAGAGCAUGUGACAUAUAAAAUAUUAUAUUUGUUAGAGAAGUAUAUUUUUAUAUUGUUUAUUAACUUAAUUACUAAUUGAAUAAGUGGUAAAGGGUUGGGUGGUUGGUAUCCGAGACCCAAGUUCGAAUCCUAGUUGAUUGACAUUUCCAACUAAGUUUAUUUUUAAAUGAAAUAAACGAAGCGGGUAGCAUGCUACCUAUCUCUCAAAAAAAAAUUAUUAAUUGAAUAAAUUUAAAUAAAAAAUUUAAUAAUAAAAAAAAUUUAAAUUGGUUUGUGUGCAACAUAAAUUUUUGUAAAAACUUAUUAAUAAUUAAAUUAUUUUAUAAAANGUGUGCAACAUAAAUUUUUGUAAAAACUUAUUAAUAAUUAAAUUAUUUUAUAAAAACAUGUGUGAAAAAAAAGAGAGAAAACUAUUACAAUAAUUUUAAAAAAAAAUAUAUAAAUUUAAAAUUUAGAAAAUUUUAUAGAUAUAUUAACUGUUUGUUAUUAGUUAUUUAAUUUUAUUCAUAGAAAAAUAAUUAUAAUUAUUGAAUUUGGCCAUCUUUUGUAUGAAAUUUAAUAAACAUUUUGUCUAGUUAACAAAAAUUAAUCAUAAAAUAUUUUUUAAAAAAUCAGUUAAAAAAAAAUUUGAGGGGCCUAUUUCAAAGAAUCCUAAUAGUUGAGGGGUCUAUUGUCAUAUAAGUUGCAUGAGUGUUUUUUCCAAAGUAGGUAGAUGUGUAGGUCACUAUACAGUAUAUUUGUUUGAAAUUCUAAAAUAGUUUUUCUUUUUUCCCAGAUUGAUAGACCUUUAAGCUAAGAAAAUUUUAUGCAACCCUUUAUAUUAUGGAAUGCAUGGUUGAUUUGUUUAUGUUUCAAUAAAGGCUUGCGCUUAUCUUGCCUUCAAAUUAGGAGCUCUAUCAAAUUUAUAAUCAAGCAGAGCUGAUUGCAGAACAGAAAAUAUGAAAGCAUCGGUGAAUUUCUGUUUCGGCAAGUUCACCUUUUAGGUAGUAAUUGCUUGAUGAAGUUCAAAGUAGUUCAUUGUUACGUUUUAUAUAUUUAUUUUCUCUUCAGUUUCUUUACUAUGAUAUUCUGAUACUAUGUUUGAUAACAGAUUUAUCAGCUUGCUUUCUUCUGCAGUUGGCUUCAGUGGACAAAGUAUGAGGGAGCUCUUUCUGUACCAAUUCGAUCUAUUUCUACCUUUUUUUUGUUCGCACCUGUUGUUGCUAGUAUAAUAGCUGUACUACUAAAAUAUUAAAAAAAUAAUGUAGUGGAAGUGAUUUGCAAGUUGUAAUACUAAACAGAAAAACCGAAAGAUCUCCAAACGAAGUUGUGCUGUAUUGUUAAUUUAGACAUUUUGAUUUACAAUAAAUGCAAAAUUGAGAUGGUUCUUUGUUCUCUUUCUCAAUUGAGCUCAUUGUUUGCAAACAUCUCAUGUCCUGCUCGAAACUUAGCAAGGGCUCCAGUUCUAAAAGCUAAAGUGAGUUUACAAUAAAUAUGUGAUGUUGUGUUUGAAGAGGAUAGUGCUAAUAACCUUAGCAAUCUUUUACCUAAGGUAAGGUAUUCAUUCACAAGUAGGUCUGAGUUUGAUUCGAAAUUGAAUAAGCAAGCUCGAGCUUGGCUCAAUCAUAAACAAGCCGAAAAUGACCAAGCAAAAGUUUUUCAAUAAAUGCCCACAAUGUUAACAAGCAUAUAUACGAAGCAGAAUUUCCUUCUUUACAACACCAAAAUCAUAAAACCAAAAUGCUUAGUAAUAGAGAGAGAGGGGGAAAAAAAAAAAAAAACAAAACAAAGCACCUAUAACGCCGCAUCAGGAUUUGUCGACAAAGAUUGUAUAAGAGCACUCCUAUCCUGCUAGCUAGCAAGGAAUAUUUAUAGGAGCCAAAAAAAAAAAUCAUAAGUAUGAUUGAUUUAAAAGUAUGAAGACUCAGCAACACUUAUGUAUUCUGCAGAUUAUUGAUAUAAACUAAGCCAUCAACAUUUUAAGCGUAGUCGUAUGUAAGAUCCAUUGUAAGGAGGAAACUUAAAAAGUGAAUGUAUCCUUCAGAAAUUAAUGUUUGAUAUAUAUUAAUUAACAAGCUAUGUGCCAAUAUUUACACCAUGUUGCACUCAAGAAUUGCAACGCGUUUGUCCCAUCGUAGAGCGUCCAAUUUCUACAAAUUAUAUUUUUAUGGUUUGGUUAAACUGUGCUGUCAUGUAAGCGUUUGUACAAUAUGAUUAAAUUUUAUUCUAGCCCUCAAACAUUUAAGCGUGAUAUUUUAAAACUUGGAAGGUUUAAAAAGCAAUUUACAACCCUGCUGCAGCUUCAGCUUCUGGAACUCCUCUUCGAGCUCGUCGUUCAAAGGCUUGGGCUCUGCUGCUUCUGCUGGUAAUUUCUUUCUUUCUCUCUCUCUCUCUCUCUCUCUCGUGAUGUGCUUGUUGGUCAACUCUGACGGAGACGAUAAUUGGGGCGUAGGACCUCGAAAACCCUAGAGAUCGGGGCGACGAAGGAUUGAGCGAAGUGGUUCUCCUUCGCUUUCGAUAUGGGAUUAGUGGAGGGAGUCGAUUGUAACAUUUCCAUCGAAAACAUCAUUCUCAAGAGUAUUAGUUUUCACCGACCGUCCAUAGUUAAAGUGGCACAGGAUUUGACUGUGGCAUCCGAGAUCUCAAAUUUGAAUCCUAGUUGAGUUAUAUUUCCAGUUCAGUUUAUUUAUAAAUAAAAUAAACGAAGUGGAUAGCAUGCUAUUUAUCUCUCAAAAAAUAAAAAGAGUAUUUGUUUUUCGGAAAAAAAAUUCGAAAAACAGAAACGAAAGUUAAAUUUUUCAGGAAAUCUGAUUUUAUUUUUUUAAACAAAAUUUUCUUUUUUUCUGGGAAACAGAAAAAAAAACUAUUUUUUUUAAAAUAUUGGAAAACUAAGCACUGAUAAGUAGCGUAAGUAGAUAUAGGUAAAUUACACGUUUAGUCCUAAAACUAUAUGUGGCUUGAUAUUUUUGUUCUCGAACUUAAUUUGUCUAAAUUUUUGACUUGCGUUAUGAAAUGCAUCCCACUUUAGCCCUCAAACUAUAGUUGUAAUUUUUUGAUCAAACUAUAAGGAAUGUGAUACCUUAGCUCUCGAGCUUUUUGAAUUAUUACAAUUGAGUCUUACAAUCUAAUACUUUUAAAUAAGUAUUGAUGAAUUACUAAUAUUGAAAUAAUAGUAUUUUAAUUAUCAUAGCAUCAUUAAGUACUAAAUAGGAUAUUACUAUAAUUUAGAAAGUUCAAAGGCUAAAAUCAUAUAUAAUUCGAACCAUAAAUUACAACUAAUUAAAGUUUAAGAAGUAAAGUGUCACGCAUCUCAUAUUCAAGUCAAAAAUUACAACAAAUUAAAGUUCGAGGCCCAAAGUAUCACACUGGUAGUAGUCUUAUGACCAAAAGUAUAAUUUACCUUCUUCUUCUUUUUUUUCGGUCAGCUUGGUGUAGGUACUGCCUAGAUCACAACGUAAGCCCCACGCACACUCCUGAAUCUGAAUAUUCUUGGACAUUUAUUAAGAUAAUAAUUAUUCAGAUAGGUAACAUGAUCUUCAACGUUGAUUUUGGCUGUUCAAAACUGUUGAUUUUUUUUUUUGAGAUUUAGUCCUACAUGAUUUUGGCUGUUCAAAACUGUUGGGUUAUCCUUUCGGUCAUUGAUUGUGUUCAUUUGAUCAUCUGAGGAAGAAGUAGAGAGCUAGCUACACGCGAAACAUGGCUUUGGCCUUGGUAGCUGAGUUUGCGGCGUCGGUCGUAAUCGAGAAGCUGAUCAGCACGGCCGUAUCCGACGUUUGGGAACGCUGCGCCGGGCCGAGCGCCAUGCAGGAGGAGGUCCAGAGGCUUCAGCAGGCUUUUCCGCGGAUUCAAACCAUUUUGGAUAUGGUCGAGAGGGGCCAGACUGUCGGCACGAAGCAAAACGACGUGCUGGACGCCUGGCUGUGGCAACUCAGAGACGCUGUCGAUCAGGCGGAGGACGUGCUCGAUGAGAUGGAGUACUACGAGCUGGAGAAGGCAGUGCAAGCUGGACAUAACAAGGUACUGUUGGGGUUAAAGUCUGGAAUUUGAUUUAAUUUUACAGAUUUUUUAUUAAAUCAACGAACAAAUAAAUAUUAAAUUAAAGACGAACUUAAAUUAAAAGAUAAAGUGUUUCGAAAAAUAGCUAGGUGAGACAUGUAAGAGUAACUUUAGUUCCUCUGCGUAUUUGUCUUCGGCUAGUUUCUCUAGUGACACAAUACCUUGGAUUAUUCCAAUCUUCUUAAUUGUCCGGUCUAAAGAAGUGCUUGAUUGAAUGUCAAUCCGGCUUUCAAAAUCUCAACUUUAGAAAAUAAGAUAUGAUAGAGUAAAAAAAAUAUUUUUAGUUAGAAUCUCCUAUAUAUCUCUCUUUUAUUGCUUUUAUUAUAAUAUAUAAAGUUAACAGUCAAAAGGACGUUGUAGGACGUUCCGCUACAGAGGAAUACACGAUCCCGCAUAUCGUGGAAAGCAUUGUAACCCGUUUUCCAAAUAGAGGAGACAGAGAGAAUACGUCGCGCAACUUCCUCAUAUUAAAUAUAUUGUAUUUAAAUUAAAUCUUUUAAUUAUCUAUUUGAUUGAAAUUAAAAUUUUAACUUAAACUAAUUCCAACAGGUACAACAAGGUACUGCACUCAACUUAAAAAGGAAGUUCGCUGAUUUUGCUAACAAUAUCUUUGGAAAUGACGACACCUUGAUGAGGUUGAGGGAGGCCGUGAAGGCGUUAGAUAAUGUUGCUGCUGCUAGUGAAACUUUACUUCAGCUUGUUUCGCAGCUAUACAAUUCGGAUGUUAAGCAUCAACAAGAAGAUGAGAUACGAAAUGCUCGUGAGACUAGCUCCUUUUUAACUGAGGAUACGAUUUGCGGUCGAGACACGGAGAAGGAAAGGAUAGUUGAAUGGUUAACGAAACCAACAAGCGAUGAGCCUGAGAAUACUUCUACCACUGUCGGAAAGGUCUCGGCUUUUGCGAUCGUUGGCAUGGGUGGGUUGGGAAAAACUACUCUUGCGCAGUUCAUCUACCACGAUGAAAAGGUGGGGGAGUUCUUCGACUUGGUUAUGUGGGUGUGUGUUUCCGAUCAAUUUGAUGUGACCAUGCUGACAAGAAAGAUCUUGGAAGCGGCAAAGGUAUGGGAUAGCCUUGGAGACAAGAGACUUAAUACAAUUCAAGAGAUUCUUAAAGAGAAGCUGAUCUCAAAGAAGUUUCUUCUUGUGCUAGACGAUGUUUGGAAUGAUGAUAAAAUACUUGAAUGGGAUAAAUUGAUGGCUCCUUUAAAAUUCGGAAGGAAAGGAAGCAAGAUUCUCUUGACAACGCGAAUGAAUUCAGUGGCGAAUAUAGUAGCCAGAGUUCUACGAGGUAAAAAAGAAUCUUUAAAAUUGAGUGGGUUAAAAGAAGAUGAUUUUAUACUGCUUUUCAAUAAGCAUGCAUUUUCCGGAGAGAACAUUGACAAUCACAAAAACUUACAAUUGAUCGGGCAGCAAAUAGCAAAGAAGCUUGGGGGAUGUCCGUUGGCAGCAAAAAUUUUGGGCGGAUGUCUGAACUCUUGGAUGGAUGAAAAAUAUUGGAGAAGAAUUUUGAAUGAAAAUUUUCUAAAUUUGCAAGAAAGUGAGGACAACAUUAGGGUGAUUCUAAGAUUGAGCUAUCAUCAUCUGCCAACAAGCUCGCAAAUCUGCUUUAGAUACUGCAGUAUAUUUCCCAAGGGUUAUGAGUUUGAAAAGAAUGAGCUUAUCCGUAUGUGGAUAGGUUCUGGGUUAAUCAAGCAACCAAUACAUGAAAAGCGAAGCUUAGAGGAUAUCGGAGAGGAGUAUUUAAAUCAUCUAGCAAGAAAAUCCCUUUUUGAUAUCACAAUAAUCAAGUAUGGUUCUGACCGUAAACGUCAUUAUGUCAUGCAUGAUCUGUUGCAUGAUCUAGCUCAGCUUGUCUCUUCAGGGGAAUGUUUGGGAAUUGAAGAUGAUGGUUCCAGAGAUAUCCCCGAAACAAUCCGCCACUUAUAUGUCAACAGGGUACCAGUCAACAAGGUAAAAGUAAACCGUGUCAACAGGGUAAACCCUCUUAUGAUCUCCCAUCUCAAGAACUUACGCACUCUUAUUAUUCAUUUAAACGAGAAUUUCACUGUAGUAGAUUUUAAUAAGGUUCUAAAAGAGUUAAAAAGCUUACGCUUUCUACGAGUGACUGCAGAUGACUAUAAGUUUCCAGAUGAAGUUGGUAAACUCAUUCACCUCCGCUACCUCUCCCUCGCUUCUUCUGUUGUCAGAGGAAAUGAGGUAUCUAUUCUACCUCAAUCUGUCUGUAGACUCUAUCACCUAGAAGUAAUGAAGCUUCCGGCAAUGACAAUAGAUGAUUCGACACUGGAUGGAAUGAGCAAUCUGGCUAAAUUGAGGCUGCUACAUACUCCUUAUCGUAUAAUGGACAAGAUUCCUUGGAUUGGCAAACUAACAUCACUCCAGGAGUUACAUAAUUUCCAUGUCCGUAAGGAGUGCGGCUACAAGAUAGAUCAAUUAAAAGACCUGCAAAACCUCCGAAAACUACGCAUUAGGGGUCUGGAAAAUGUAAGGAGUUCCGAAGAGGCUGGGGAUGCCAACUUGAUUGAGAAAAAAAAUCUUGAUAAAUUGUCACUCUUUUGGUCUAAGAACCGUCGUGCUGAUCUAGAGGUAGAUGAGCCACUUCUUGAUAACUUAAGACCACAUACCAAUCUCAAGGAAUUAGAAAUUGAAGGAUACGCCGGAGUUAGAUCUCCAUAUUGGAUGACGGCGACAUCUCUUUCUAAUGUAACGAAUAUCAAUCUAUACAAUUGUAGCAGAUGGGAGAACCUCACACCUUUUGGGCAACUUCCUUUGCUCAAGCUUCUUAAUUUACAAAGCAUGCGGGCUGUAAAGAAAUUAUGGCGCUCAAUAAGUGUUGGCGGUUGCGCCUUUCCAUCGCUGGAGGAGCUACGAUUGAUUGACAUGCCGGACUUGGAGUUGUUCGAAGGCGAGCACAUGUUUCCUCGGCUUAACAAAUUGCUUAUAUCUUCUUGUCCUAACUUGAAGGGUUUGCCUGCUUUGCCUCUUACUCUAAAUCAACUGGAAAUUCUGGCGGUCGGAUUGACUUCUCUUCCGACGAUGCAACAAGACUGCAGUAGCGGCGAAGGACGAGCAUCGUGCUCAUCAUCAUCGCAUCCGACACUUUCUAAACUAAGCAUUUGUGAGUGCCCAAACCUCACAUCUCUAGAUGGAUUCAUGUUGCAGCAACAAUAUUUUCCAGCCUUGAAGAGUUUAUCCAUUGAAGAAUGUGAAAAUCUAAGGCAUUUGCCGGGAAAAUUCUUCCGAAAACUUCCCUCCCUCGAGGGUUUGGUUAUACAAAUGUGCCCCAAUCUCACGACGCACGGGACGAUUCUAGACGAUCGACGAUUGCCCGAGACACUUGAAAGGCCCACUGUUGUAUCAAGCGGCGAUCUCGAUCUGUCGCUACUCGAGGAGUCAUUGCCAAUACUGACCUCUCUAGUCACCUUGUCCCUUAAUGGUUGCGCGAGCGUGACAUCCCUUCCUCCGGCGGAAGUUUUUCCAAGGUUGUCGAAAGUCUACAUCUGGAACUGUGAAGAACUGUCGUCAUUGGACGGGCUACAAUCUUGCCCCUCGCUUGAAUCCUUGUCCAUUGGUGGCUGCGCAAGCAUGGCGUCCCUUCCUCCGGCGGAAGUUUAUCCAAGGUUGUCGGAACUCCACAUCUGGAACUGUAAGGAGCUGUCGUCACUGGAUGGGCUACGAGCGCUCCCCUCGCUCAAAUCCUUGUGGAUUGGAGGAUGCGACGCGCUCGUCGAGCUUUCACUGUUGCAACCACCGUUAGGCCUCACCAGUACCAGUCCCACAGAUAUGGAGCUUCCUCAUCUUCAAAUCGACCGGCAAGCUCUGUUGCGUCUCGAACCACUGAGAAACCUCAGCUCUGUUAGCUCACUCACCAUAACUGAUGAUACCGAACUCACAUCCCUCGACGAGCAAUGGCUGUUGCAAAACCGAUACUCCCUCCGAAGCUUUGCAAUUCUCAAGGCCUUGUCUCUUGAAUCCUUACCAACCAGUAUGAUGGAUCUUCAAGCCCUGUGUGAAUUGUCUAUUUAUGACGCUCCUUUGCUUCGGACGAUUCCGGAGCUGCCCACCUCAGUGACAUUUCUAAGAAUUACCGGCUGUCUCCCCGAAUUGAAGGACUACAUUGAAGGCUCUGGAAAAUUCGCCAGUAUUCGUUGUUUGCAGGUUGGUCAAAAAUUUCCUUAAGAAAAAGCUUGGGUAAAUGCACUUUUUCUUUCCAAUAUUAUUUGCAUCUUAGGCUUCUCUGGCCCUGCUUUUUUUCUUUUUUUUUUUUUUAAUCCACUACUUCCAGCAACAAACAGACGCUAAUAGAGCAUUCGACAUAUAAUUAACCCUAUAAUAUAUAUAGUGUUGAGCUACUAUACUAUCGAAAGAAUAAAAUAAUUGGUGCUUUCGAUUUUUUAGCAUUCGACAUAUAAUGUAUAGAGUAGAGCUACUAUGCUAUCGGAAGUAUAGAGGAUUUGGUGACUCCGAUUUUUAGCCCUUAGAUCAACCUUUUAAUUAUUUCUAAUGUUUGGAUUAAUACUAUUAAUCUGUGGGGACCACUCAACUCUAAGGAUACUACUCAACUCUGGGGGGAUCGCAAUCAUCCCAACCGUAUACUUUUUUAAAACAAUGGUCAAAAAGUUGAAAACAUCAUAUCCUCUAUACUUCCGAUAAUAUAGUAUCUCUACACUAAUAUAUAUAUAUAUAGAGUGCGUCUGGUAUGCUUAUAGAAGCACCGAGCGCUCCGUGCUUCCACUUUGUUUUCGAUGUUCAGACUUUCGAAUCGAAGAUCGGCUCCGUUAGACUCAAUCUAGAGUAUUUGAAGUAUCUAGAAAAUAAAUUUUGCGAUUUUUCGAUAUCAUUUGCCUAGUGAUCGAAGUGGCUCAAAAUCAACGGCUGAAAAUAAAAAUCUUACAAAAUAUGAUGAUAUGACAUUAAAAUUUUAGAUCAAUGUUAUUGAUCUUGUUUUAUAUGGUAUAAAGAAUUUUCUAUCAAAAUUUCAUGCGAUUUGGAUAUUUCUACACCGUUAAACUUGCAACCGGCUCACCACGGCCAUUAAAAUUAUUGAUUUUGAGCCCCUUCGAUCACUAGGCAAAUGAUAUUGAAAAAUCACAAAAUUUAUUUUUUAGGUACUUCAAAUACUCUAGAUCAACUCUAACAGAGCCGAUCGUUGAUUCGAAAGUCCGAACAUCGAAAACAAAGUGGGAGCACAGAGGGCUCCGUGCUUCCAUAAGCAUACCAGCCUACUCUCUAUAUAUAUAUAUAUAUGUGUGUGUGUGUGUGUGUGUGUUAGAAAAGUAUAUUUUUUAUACUAUUUAUUACCUUAAUUAUCAAUUAAAUAGAUAAUAAUAAAAAUAAUUUAAUCAGUUUAUGUGCAACAUAAAAUUUUGUGAAAACUAAUUAAUAAUUAAAUUAUUUUAUAAAGACGUGUGAAAAAAAAAGAGAGAAAACUAUUAAAUAAUUUUUAAAAAUUAUAUGAAUUUAAAAUUUAGAAAAUUUAAUAGAUAUAUUAAUUGUUUGUUAUUAGUUAUUUAAUUUAUUUCAUAUAAAAUUAUAUUAAAAAAUCAGUUAAAAGCCUAUUUCAAAGCAUCCUAUUAGUUGAGGGGUCUCCACACAAAAUUUUUUUGGUGCAAAUGUAUAGAGACUUUCUAAAUUUUUAGUUUUAGGCUUAAGUAAUUUUAUCAAAACUUUAUGAAUCUUUAUAAAAUUUAUUAGUAAUUUUACCAUAUUUAAUAAUUUUAAUUAUCUUUGGUUAUUUUAAUUAACUCAUUAGUAAAUUCAUCAGAUUUAAUAAUUUUAAUUAUCUUUUAUCAUUUUAAUUUAACGAAGUAUAAAAAUUAAGAUUAAAAAAGAAAUUAAAAUUUUUUUUUUUUUUUGAGAGAUAGGUAGCAUGCUACCCGCUUCGUUUAUUUCAUUUAGAAAUAAACUUAGCUGGAAAUGUAAAUCAACGAGGAUUCGAACUUGGGUCUCGGGUACCAACCACCAAGCCCUUUGCCACUUGCUCUAGGGAUGGUCGGUAAAACCCUGAUAAUUUUAAUACAGAGGCUUUCUAUAUAGUAUAGAUCGCCUUUAUAAAAUUAGUUUUAAUUUUAUAAUAUUAAUUAUUAAAAAUUAGAGUCUACGUAUGUAAUAUUUAUGGCAAUUUUUUUAUAGUUGAGGAGGGGGUUGGGAGGAGAAAUCAUUCUGUGCACCGGGUGUAUACUUAUAUCUUAUACACCGUGUUAAUAUCUCUAUUGUUUAUAAUAUUUUGUACAUAAAUUUUUUUAUAUGGUGUAUCUAUUAAAGAGUAUUUUGGUUUUAAAAUAUUAAUAAUUAAAAAAAUAGGUUUGAUGCAUGUGAUAGUUAAUAGGUAGCUUACUUGUCCCCUCAUGUUAAUUUAGUCAUUUUGAUUUAUAUAUAUAUUUUUUGAUUAAAUAGGGAUAUACCCUAUUUUAGAAAGCAAAGUAGACCUCGGACUGCGGUCUUAGAUGCAUACAUAGACUCGAGGGAGCGAGAAAGAAGAAAGAAGAAGCGCUACGGGAUUAGAUCAAAAUCAACUCUGGAACACAGAUUUCCAUAGUUCCGCUGAGUACAGAAACACUUCUUCUCAGGGUGUUGCUUUGGUAAGGACGAUCGUUGAAAAUUCUCUUGCUCCUCUCAUUCUACAGUUCCCAGCAGGCUGCUGCAAAACAAAAGUCAAAGUUAGUUUUAGAUAUUCCAGACAUCUUGCUUCUCAUUUGGCUCCACCGGUCUGCUAAAUUUCCAAAGAGGGAGGUCGCGAACUGUUGUGUAGUUGUGAAAUUGUGAAGCAGCCAAUUCCACAAAGAUCUUGCAUAAGUGCAGUGGAAUAAAAUAUGAUCCAGAGUUUCCGCGUAACGCAGAUAGAUGGCCCGUUCCAACCCCUUUUCUAGAGAAUUUCUACGGUAAGAACUUUAUUUCUUGCGGCUAGCCACAUGAAGAUUUUGAUUCUGAGGGGAAUCCUUAUUUUCCAAAGGAAAGAAAAUUUUGAGUCGUUUAUUCCGUCAUAUGUUAGGAAGUUGUAGGCGCUCUGAGCCGAAAGUAGUCCUGAAUUAGUCCAUCGCCAUGAUAAAUGUAAGAUUGAGAUUUAUGAUAAAUGUAAGAUUGAGAUUUUUUUUCUUUCUUUCUCAAUUGAGCUCAUUGCUCGCAUGCAUCUCUUGUCCUGCUCGCAACUUAGCAAGGUGUCAUGUUCUUAUGCUUUUUACCGGCAAACGGCCGUGCAGCGCUCGUCUUAUUCCUCAAAGAUGGCAAGCUUGCCUCAAUCUUGCUAGCUUUGGAUCUACUUAUUUUAAACCUAAGGUGCAUGAAAAAGAGAUAUACUUUCGAAAACAUUAAACUUACCAGGUGGUGCUUUCGAUUUGUAGAAAUUAUAUUACUUAGGGAUCGUUUGAUUAGAUGUAAUUAUAAAUACAGUGUAGUUAGAGAUGCAUGCAGUUGAAAAUAUAGCAGUUAUAAUUACAUGCAUUAUAUUUUGUUGGAUGUAGUAAAAAACGCUACAAUUACAAAUAAUUAUUUGGUUGCAUGCAAUUGAGAAAUAAUUUUUAAAAUUUUAUCAUUAUAUAUAUAUAUAUGAUGAUGAGAUUACUUCUAAUGCAAAAAAAAAUUUAAGAGGUAAGAUUACCUUUUGUUUAAAUUUACUUUCUUCAACUGCUGCAGUUGGAACUGCGGCCAAUUUGGGCGUAGUUUCAACUGCUACAGUUGGACCUCCUCCUGCAAUUCCUACUGCAGUAGUUGGAGUUAAAUAUAUAAACUUAACACCAAAUUUGUAUUUGCAUGCAGUUACAAUUGCCGACAUGCAACCAAACGGCCUCUUAGAGAAAUAUAGAGUACAAUAUUCUCAAAGUCCUGAGCUUGUGAAAAAUCUAAAACUCCUUAUUCAUAGAUUUAUUGUCAUUAUUACAAAUAAAAAUUUACUAUUCAUUGCUUCUAUAGAAUCGCCCCGUUUUGUUCGGAGGAUAAGCGGGGAUAACGAAAGUUAUCCCCGCUAUUCCGCCAAACGGAAAAAUUUAUUGCCGGGAUAUUUUAUUCCGGUCAAAUCUUGCUAUUCUCGGUUAUCUCAGAAUAGCAAAAGAUUUGCUAUUCCAACAUUUUGAUGGAAUAGUGCUAUUUCAAUACAUAGUUUCAAACUUAAUUAAAAUUAUAAAUUGAAUUAAAAUUAAAUUAUAUAAAUAUAAUAUAUUAUAUAUUAUAAUACAUUAUUUUUAUUAUAAAAUUAUUAAUUGUACUAUGUUAAUAAAUAUUAUUUAUAUUUAAAUAUUAUAAUAAAUUUUACAAUAAAUUAUAUUUAAAUAUUAUAAUAAAUUCUUUUUAUUAAAUUUAAGUUUAAGUAUAAUUUUAAAAAAAAUUAUAAAUUUAUUAUAAUAAAUUAUUUUUAUUAAUUGUUCCCACCCCUAUUCUUAUUUUAAAAUUUUAAAAAUUAAAAAUUUAAAAUUUUAAAAUUUAUAAUUUAUAAUCUCAAAAUUAAAGUUUAUAAUUUUAAAUUUUAAACUUUAAAUUUUGAUAUUUUAAAUUUUUAAAAUUUUAAAUUUUAUAUUUUAUAUUUUUCAAAUUUAAAUUUGAUUUUAAAUUUAAAGUUUGAAUUUUAAAAUUUAAAAUUUUGAAUUUAAAAUUUGAGAUUUUAAAUUUCAAAUUUUAAAAUUUCAAAAUUUAAAUUUUAAAUUUAAAAAUAUAAAUUUAAAAUUUUAAAAUUUUAAAUUCAAAUAUAAUAAAAGAGUAAUAUCAUUAUUUUUUAUUUAUAAAAGCUCACUAUCCUUCGUAUUCCAUCUUACUUAACCAAACGCUAUUUUUUUUAUUCUCAGAAAUAACCCAAUUUUCAUCCAAAUGCAAAAUUGAUCUAAUCCCCGCUUAUACCUCAAUUUAUACCUAUCCCUGAAAUAGCCACUUUUUGCUUAUCCCCGAACCAAACGAUACUAAGUGGCUUCUAGGCUUUCGUCUGUAGCUCCUAGGUUUACUGUCUAUAUUUAUUCUUAGAAAAUCUUUGAGUUGCCCAUGAUGCUUCAGCUCCCUUUCCGCAUGUUGUAACUUUGGCUCCCAAAAUAGCUGCUGAAAGAUUUUUUUUUUUUGAGAAUAAGGUACUGCUUCAUUCAAUUAGAAGAUAAAUUCGGCUAUAAAUUGAGGCAGUCAAAAACGAUCCCAAGAAUCCUUGAGAGUUCGGCUCUUUGUAAGCACACAACCUAGUGCAUGUUUAGAUUUUUCAAAAAUUCUUCUGUUAUGCUCUAACCAGAUAACCCAUCAUGUGGCAGUGAUGGUCGCCAACUCUCUAUUCACCCGUGCACUUCUUUUGAGGCUACUCGCUUCCCAAAUCUCCAUUGAGGAUGAGCAAUUACUAAGAAAGAGUUGUUUGGAAGUAAUCCUUUUAGCAUAGCUGUAGCCUGAGGGUAGCUGGAGAAGAGAUGAUCCACCAUCUCUUUCUCUUCCAGACAUGAAACACCAUUCUCGUCCCCACUCUAACCCCUUUUUAGAAGGUUGUCCACAAUGAGCACCCUUUUUCAACGCUAACCACAUGAGAGUCUUGACUUCGAGGGGAGAUCUAAUCUUCCACAAGUGUGCAAAGCUCUUAGCUCUAACUCCACCAUCCUGAUGAAAAUUGUAUACUAAUUUGACCGAGAACUUUUCGAAGCAGGUCCAUCUCUAUCUUAUGACAUCCUGUGUAGUAUAUAGACAGAUCUCAUAAAUUUACUCCAUUAGAGUCAAAAGUUAGUCACUUUCUAGCUAAGGGUGAAUUCUGACAAAAUCUUACGCCAACUCCAACCGUUCCCGUCCCAACAAUCCUUCACUCUGUAAUUUCUACAUGUGAUUUUCUCGAAGAUACAUGGGUAUAAAGUUCGCAAUGAGGCUCGUUCAUACCAGAUGUCAGUUCAGAAAUUUAUGAUCUGUCCAUCCGCAAUUGACUAAGACACUCCACAUUGAAAAAUCUCCUUGGUCGCUAGAACGCUCCUCUACCAGAACGAGCGGGGUUUGAACGAUACACCUUCCGCAAGCGGUUUCCUCCGUAUAUAAUAUACUCCGUCAAUCAGUGCACUCCACAGAUGAUUUCUUUCAGAGAAAAACUUCCAUCACCAUUUGGGCAAUGAACUUACCCUUGCUACUGAACGAAUUUUAAAUUAUACUCUUUUGAAUUUGUGUCACUAUCAAAGACAGACGAACAAUAGAUCUUACGAUGUGCGUGGCAAGAGACUCCAGAUCUAAAAGCUAAAGUGAGUUUAUAAUAAAUAUGGAAUGUUGCAUUUGAAGAAGAUAAUGUGUUAAUUAUAAGUGAUAGUCUGUUAAUAAACAAGCCGAGCAUGACCAAGCAAAAAUUUUUUAAGAAAUGCCCACAAAGUUACAAGCAUACCACAACAAAAACACAUAACAAAAAGCUUAGAGAGAGAGAGAGAGAGAGAGAGAGAGAGAGAGAGAGCUACACCUUUUCCCAAUACAACACUUAACACAAUUUAGGCCAUGUUUGGUUCUAUACAAAAAUAAGCUGAAAACAAAUUUUCAGUUGAAAAAUAGUUUUCAAGUGUUUGGUUGGGUGUCAAAUAAUUUUUCAGGGAAAUCUAGUUUUACAUAUUUGGAGAAAACCCUCCAUUUGUUUUCCGCAGGCGAGCGACGAAAAACGAAAAGCGCGAAAGAAAAAGCACGGCUCAUGACCACGCUUUUGCGCGGUCCACGAGGUCCGCAUCACCUCGUGGACCGCGUGAGGCAAGGAGAUAUAUAUAUAUAUAUAUAUAUAUAUAUAUAUAUAUAUAUAUAUAUAUAUAUAUUCACCCCGUCUGGAGAGGAGUGCGCCAGGUGCUCCACCUCGCCUGGAGCACCUGGCGCGGAAAAAAAGAGAGGCGCAGCACGAGUUGCGGCACGUUCCAGGUAGAGGGGCGCAACACGCGUUACGACACACUCCAGGUAGCUAGUACGUNNNNNNNNNNNNNNNNNNNNNNNNNNNNNNNNNNNNNNNNNNNNNNNNNNNNNNNNNNNNNNNNNNNNNNNNNNNNNNNNNNNNNNNNNNNNNNNNNNNNNNNNNNNNNNNNNNNNNNNNNNNNNNNNNNNNNNNNNNNNNNNNNNNNNNNNNNNNNNNNNNNNNNNNNNNNNNNNNNNNNNNNNNNNNNNNNNNNNNNNNNNNNNNNNNNNNNNNNNNNNNNNNNNNNNNNNNNNNNNNNNNNNNNNNNNNNNNNNNNNNNNNNNNNNNNNNNNNNNNNNNNNNNNNNNNNNNNNNNNNNNNNNNNNNNNNNNNNNNNNNNNNNNNNNNNNNNNNNNNNNNNNNNNNNNNNNNNNNNNNNNNNNNNNNNNNNNNNNNNNNNNNNNNNNNNNNNNNNNNNNNNNNNNNNNNNNNNNNNNNNNNNNNNNNNNNNNNNNNNNNNNNNNNNNNNNNNNNNNNNNNNNNNNNNNNNNNNNNNNNNNNNNNNNNNNNNNNNNNNNNNNNNNNNNNNNNNNNNNNNNNNNNNNNNNNNNNNNNNNNNNNNNNNNNNNNNNNNNNNNNNNNNNNNNNNNNNNNNNNNNNNNNNNNNNNNNNNNNNNNNNNNNNNNNNNNNNNNNNNNNNNNNNNNNNNNNNNNNNNNNNNNNNNNNNNNNNNNNNNNNNNNNNNNNNNNNNNNNNNNNNNNNNNNNNNNNNNNNNNNNNNNNNNNNNNNNNNNNNNNNNNNNNNNNNNNNNNNNNNNNNNNNNNNNNNNNNNNNNNNNNNNNNNNNNNNNNNNNAAUAUAAAAUUAAGCUUUUAAAAAAUUUAAGAAAAAAUAGAGAUAGAUAUUAUAUUAUAGAUGUGAUAGAUAUGAUAUAUAUUUUAGUACAUAAAAUUUAAAGAUAUGAUAUUAUAUUAUUCACAAUAGAUAUUCUCCUGUUGGCAAAUUUUUUUUCUGUUGUAGAAAUAAAGAGGGAUUAAAAGUUGUUUAAUUCUGUUAUUUUUUUACGUACGGAAAGAGGAAUCAAGUUGUUUUUCAAAUCCCGCUAAAAAAUGGGUCUAUCGACAGACCGAAAUUUGAAAUACGUGCUUUUAUAUAUAGUAUAGAUAUAUAUAGAGUCCGGCUACUAUGCUAUUAAUAGUACGAAACAUUUGGUGCUACUAAGUUUUCCGCCGUUAGAUCUACCCUUUUGAUCAUUUUCACCCGUUAGAUCAUACUAUUCAACCAACCACUCACUCAGCCGUAGGGGGCCACAUCAUUCUAACCGCACAUCUCUUAAUCCAAUGGCCAAAAACUUGGUAGCACCAAUGACUUGGUGCUAUUAAUAGUAUAUUAGCCUAGUUCUCUCUCUCUCUCUCUCUCUCUCUCUCUCUCUCUCUCUCUCUCUCUCUAUAUAUAUAUAUAGAGCAGGGCUGUUGUGCUCCCAGGAGCACGAAGGCCUCCGUGCUCCUGAGCCAUUUUCGAUGAUAAAAUUUUCGAAUCGACGAUCGACUCCGUUAGACUUGAUCUAGCGUAUUUAAAGUUUCUGAAAAAUAAUUUUUGCGAUUUUUCGAUAUCAUUUACCUAGCAAUCGAAAGGAUUCAAAAUCAAUAAUUUUAACGGCUGAAAAUAAAAAUCCUAUAAAAAGUGGUGAUAUAGCACUAAAAUUUUCGAUCAGAAAUAUUGAUCUUGUUAUAGAUAGUAUAAAAAAUUUUGUAUUAAAAUUUCAUAUGAUUUGAAUACUUCUACACUGUUAAACUUGAAAACAGCAGAUAUCAACCAUUAAAAAUUAUGGAUUUUGAAUCCUUUCGAUCACUAGGUAAAUGAUAUAAAAAAAUCACAAAAAUUAUUUUCUAGAAAUUUCAAAUGCGCUAGAUCAAGUCUAAUNAGUCCGGCUACUAUACUCUUAUGAGUACGAUUGCCCUCGUACUUAUAAAUCAUUUUCGAUGGUAGAGCUUCCAAAUCGACGAUUCAUAUCGUUAAACGUUAUUUACAACAUUAAAAACUUAUAGAAAUCAAAUUUUAUAAUUUUUUAACAUCAUUUACCUUACGAUCAAAAGGUCACAAAAUUGAUAAUUUUAACGGCCGGUAUGGAAUACUUUCUAGUUUAACGGUGUAAAAGAAUUGGAAUUUGUUGAAUUUUUGAUAAAAAAUUCUAUUCACUACCAAGAUAAUGAUCAAUAAUUUCGAUCUUAAAUUGAAGGAUACGAUCAUCUAUUUUUAGGACGUCGUUCAAUUUUGACCGUUUAUUUUAUGCUUGCUUGAUGAAUUUUAUUAUGAUUUUGAAAAUUUACGAAAUUUAUUUUUUAGAAGUUUCAAAUACUCUAGAUCAUAUUUAACGGAGUGGAUUGUCGAUUCGGAAGCUCCAUUAUCAAAAACAACUUAUGAGUACGGGGGCUCCAAUACUCAUAAUAGAAUAAUAGCCACGGCCUAUAUAUAUAAUAAUUUUUUAUUUAUAACUUUUUUUUUUCUUUUCUUUUCAACCAAACAAUCGUAACGAAAAAUUACUUUUCUUUUCCUAUAAACCAAACGCUAAAACGUAAAAUUUAUUUUCCUCCAAAAAUUUUGUUUCCACCGAAAUUUUUUUUUUCUGUAGUUUUACGAGGAACCAGACAGCCCCUUAUACUGGCCAAGGAAGGAAGAAUGUUCGCUGUAAAUAAAGUUUUGCCCUUUUCGUUGCCCUUUGUUGGUCAUCUGAAGAUAACCAUGUUGUUACCUUCCCUCCGGCACCGGACCUCGAGUCGAGGGUGCGCCCAGCACCCGCGUAUCCGCGCACCACGUCGACCAUGGAUUGCGUCUGUCAGGCACCAACAUCAAGGUUAAUUUUGAUUUUUAAAUUUUAAAUUUAAAUUUUAAAUUUUAAAUAUUCAAAUAUUAGAUUUUAAAUUUGAAAUUAAAAAUUGAGAUUUCGAUUUUAAAUUUUAAAUUUUUUAAUUUAUAUUUUAAAUUGAAGUAUCAAAUUUUAAUUUUAAAUUCAAAUUUAAAUUUAAAUUUAAAUUUAAAUUUGAAUUUAAAAUUUAAAUUUAAACUCAAAUUUAAAUUUAAAUUUAAAUUUUAAAUUUUAAAAAAUUUUAAAAUAAAAUUCAGUAAAAUAUUAUUAUUUGCAAAUAGUGAAAUUUUUUUGCUAAACAGAUUUAAUUCAUAAAAAUUACUUCUUAUAUAAACUCAGUCAAACACUUCACACCUUGGAACCAAAAUUAAAAUUUUAAAUUAAGAAAUCAUUUUUCUACAAUCUAUAGGCCAAACGAGCUAUAAAAUAGUCAUUGAGAUGGGCAAUAUGAAUCUAAACGUUUCCACGCGGUGGAAAAGUUUAUAUUGUGACUUGCCGAGGGGAAAAUCUAUUGUGUAAUAUUAACACCACAUUAUCUAUUCCAGUCAAUCAUAUCUUUUCUUUGGAGACAAAAAAUAUAAUACAAAUAUUUUUUCAAAAAAAAUUACUAUGGAAUGAAUGAAUUUUAGAAAAACUUUUUGACUGACUCAUGACACCACAUCACCCACAUAAAUGUUGUAUUCCAGAAUUUUUCGUUGCUGAGAGGCUUUGUGAAAAGUAAAAACUCUUAAAUUAUUGGCUGUUCAAUACUGCCAGGUCAACCCUUUCGGUCAUUGAUAGCUAAAGCCACGACAAAUAAGCUUCGGUUUGAUUGUGAGUUCCUGGGAUGGUCCGCACGGUGGAAACGUUUACAUUGUGAGUUGCUGAGAGGGUUUGUAAAAACUCUUACGUUUACGUUAUUGGCUUUUCAAUAUUGCCGGGUCAACCCUUUCUAGCUAAACCCACGACAAAUAAGCUUCGGUUUGAUUGAGGCUUCACUUUCCUAUCUUCUUUAAUUUUGUGUUCAUCUGAUCAUUUGAGGAAGAGCUAGAGCACUCGGUAUACGUUAAACAUGGCAUUGGCCUUGGUAGCUGAAUCCGCGGCGUCGAUCGUAAUCGAGAAGGUGAUCAACACAGCCUUAUCCUACGACGAGGAGUGCGGCGGGCCGAGUAACAUGCAGGACGAGAUCCAGAGGCUUCAGCAGGCCCUUCCGCAGAUCCAAGCGAUCUCGGCCGCCGUCGAGGGGAUGCAGAAUGUCAGUACUGAGCAAAACAAGGUGCUGGACGCGUGGCUGUGGCAGCUCAGAGAUGCCGCUGAGCGAGCAGAGGACGUGUUCGAUGAGCUGGAGUACUACAAGCUGGAGAAGAGAGUGCAAGCGCGCGGCGGUAGUGUACUCAACUUUAAACGGAAGUUUACUGAUUUUGCUAAGAAUAUGUUCGGAAAUGACACCUUGAACAGGUUGAGGGAGGCCGUGAAGGCGUUAGAUAAGGUUGCAGCAACUGUAGGACCUUUCCUGCAGCUCGCUUCGCAACUGUACGAUUCGAAUGUUAGGUGUCGACAAGAAGACGAGCUACGAAAUGCUCGCGCGACUAGCUCCUUUUUAACUGAGAGCAUUAUUUACGGUCGAGACGAGGAGAGGGACGUGAUAGUUGGAUGGUUAACUAAACCGACACGUGACAAGCUGGAGAAUACCUCUGCUGCUGCAGGAAAUGUCUCGGUUUUUGCGAUCGUCGGGAUGGGUGGGAUGGGAAAAACUGCGCUCACGCAGUUCGUCUACCAUGAUAAAAGAGUACAACGGUGCUUCGACUUGGUUAUGUGGGUGUGCGUUUCUGAUAGAUUUGACGCGGCUAUGCUGACGGUAAAGAUCUUAGAAGCGGCGAUGGUUAGGGAUAGUCUUGGUGACAAGAGCCUUAACACGAUUCAAGAGAUUCUUAAAGAGAAGCUUAUCUCCAAGAAGUUUCUUCUUGUGCUGGAUGAUGUUUGGAAUGAUAAUAAAAUACUUGAAUGGGAUAAAUUGGUGGCUCCUUUAAAAUUCGGCAGAAAAGGAAGCAAGAUUCUCUUGACAACGCGAAUGGAUUCAGUGGCGAAUGCAGUAGCCAGAGUUCUACAAGGUAGAAAAGAAUCUUUAAAAUUGAGUGGGUUAAAAGAAGAUGAUUUUAUACUGCUUUUCAAUAAGCAUGCCUUUGCCGGAGCGAACAUUGACGACCACAGAAACUUAGAAUUGAUCGGUCAGCAAAUAGCAAAGAAGCUUGGGGGAUGCCCGCUGGCAGCAAAAAUUUUGGGAGGAUGUUUGAACUCUUGCAUGGAUGAAAAAUAUUGGAGGAGAAUUUUGAAUGAAAAUUUUCUGAAUUUGCAAGAAAGUGAGGACAACAUUAGGAUGAUUCUGAGAUUGAGCUAUCAGCAACUGCCGAUAAGCUCGCAAAUUUGCUUCAGAUACUGCAGUAUCUUUCCUAAGGAUCAUGAAUUCGAAAAGAAUGAGCUUAUCUAUUUGUGGAUAGGUUCUGGGUUGAUCAAGCAACCAACACAUGAAAAGCGAAGCCUAGAGGAUAUCGGAGAGGAGUACUUAAACCAUCUAGCAAGAAGAUCCCUUUUUGAUAUCAAAAUAAGUGAGGGAGCAUUUGGCCUUAAACAGAGUUAUGUCAUGCAUGAUCUGUUGCAUGAUCUAGCUCAAUUUGCCUCUUUAGGGGAAUGCUUGAGAAUCGAAGGUGAUGGUUCCAGAGAAAUUCCGAAAACGAUCCGCCACAUAUAUGUCAAAAGGGUAAACCCUCUUAUGAUCUCCCACCUGAAGAACUUACGCACCCUUUUUAUUCAUUUAAACAAGGACUAUGAUGUAAUAGUAUUUAAUGAGGUUCUAAAAAAGUUAAAAAGCUUACGUUUACUACAAGUGACUGCAGAUAACUAUAAGCUUCUGGAUGAAGUUGGUAACCUCAUUCACCUCCGCUACCUCUCUCUCACUCCAUGGAUCGACGAAGUAUUUAAGAGAUAUUCGCUACCUCAAUCUAUAUGUGGACUCCAAUCUGUGUGUAGACUCUAUCACCUCGAAGUAAUGAAGCUCCCAGCAACGAAAACUGAAAUAGAUGAUUCAGCGCUGGUUGGAAUGAGCAAUCUAGUUAAAUUGAGGAUGCUAGACAUUCCCGCUCGUGUAACAGCCAAGAUUCCUUGGAUCGGCAAAGUAACAUUACUGCAGAACUUAGAUUAUUUCUAUGUCCGCGAGGAGUGUAGCUACAAGAUCUGUCAAUUAAAAAACCUGCGAAAUCUUCGAAAACUAUGCAUUGAUGGUCUGCAAAAUGUAAGGAGUCCACAAGAGGCUAUAGAUGCCAACUUGAUUGAGAAAGAAAAUCUUGACAAAUUGUCACUAGUUUGGCCUAAGAAUCGCGCUGGUCGUUUAGAGGUAGAUGGGCCACUUCUUGAUAACUUAAAACCACACACCAAUCUCAAGGAACUGGAAAUUAAAGGAUACGCCGGAGUUAGAUCUCCGCAUUGGAUGACAGCGCCAUCUCUUUCUAACAUAACAUCUAUCAAUCUACACGAUUGUAAGAGAUGGGAGAACCUCUCACCUUUUGGGCAACUUCCUUUGCUCAAGUUUCUGUGUCUACGACAUAUGCCGGCUAUAAGGAAAUUAUCGUGUUCAAGUCGUGUUGGUGGUUGCGCCUUUCCAUCGCUGAAGGAGCUAAAAUUGUAUGACAUGCCAAACUUGGAGCUGUUCGAAGGCGAGCACCUGUUUCCUCACCUUAAUAAGUUUGAUAUUAGUUCUUGUCCUAGCUUGAAGGGUUUGCCUGCUUUGCCUCUUACUCUGAAUCAACUGGACAUUUGGACGGUCGGAAUGACAUCUCUUCCGAUGAUGCAACAAGAUUGCGGUCGUGGCGAAGGACGAGUAUCCUGCUCACCAUCACAUCCGGCACUUUCUUAUCUACGUAUUGGUAAGUGCCCAAACCUCACAUCUCUGGAUGGAUUCAUUUUGCAGCAACAAUAUUUUCCAGCCUUGGCGAGUUUAUCGAUUAAAGAAUGCAAAAAUCUAAGGCUUCUGCCGAAGUUCUUCUUCCAAAAACUUCCCUCCCUCAAGUAUUUGAUUACAGAAAUGUGUCCCAAUCUAACGACACACAGGAUUCUAGACAAUCGAUUCCCCGAGACACUUGAAAAGCUCACUCUUGAAUCUAGCGGUGAUCUCGGUUUGUCGCUGGUCGAGGCGCCAAUACUGGCCUUUCUGACUGACUUGAAGAUUGACGGUUGCGCGAGCAUAACAUCCUUUCCUCCGGCAGAAGUUUUGCCCAGGUUGAUGAAUCUCUACAUCCGGAAUUGUAAAGAACUGUCAUCAUUGGAUGGGCUACAUGCUCUCCCCUCGCUCGAAUCCUUGUACAUUGGAGGAUGCGACAAGCUCAUCGAACUUUCACUGAUGCAACCGCCAAUAGGCCUCGAUAUGGUGUCGCGCCCUUCAAUAGAGCUUCGCGCUCUUGAAAUCGACCAGCAAGCUCUGUUGCUCAUCGAACCACUGAGAAGCCUCAACUCUGUUUGCUCAUUCAUUAUACAGGAUGGUGCAGAACUCACAUCCUCUACCGAGACAUGGCUGCUGCAAAACCAAAACUCCCUUCAAAUUUUAAAGAUAUGUAAAGCUUUAUCUCUUCAAUCCUUUCCCCCUAUUCUGAUGCAUCUUCGAUCCCUGUGUGCUCUGAGCAUAUAUGAUGCUCCUUUGCUCCAGUCGAUUCCAGAACUGCCCGCCACAAUGGAAUUUCUAACAAUUACAGGUUGUCAACCUGAACUGAAGGAGUACAUAAAAGGCUCUGGAAAAUUUGCCAAUGUUCCUUAUGUGAGGAUCACUGAAGAUUGAGUAUGUCACAUCUCUUUACUACUAUCUCUAACUCCCAGCAUAAUUUCUCGGUCAAAUCUCUCUACAACUUCUUAAAGGACGGAGCGAUUAGAGAUCACUUGAGCACUCAUAUUUGGAAAUUCAAAAUUCCGGUGAAGGUCAAGAUCUUCGUCUGGCUGCUUAUGCGAAAUAGAGCACUCAUGGCAGAUAACCUUCUUAAGAGGGGUUGGAGUGAGGGCCACCUCUGCAUGUUAGAAGUUGGAUUGCUGGAUUAGUUGAAUUUCUCUUAAAGGAAAUAAAAAACGAAGGAUUAGUUGAAUCAUUCACUACUGCAUUUUUUUUUUAUCUAAUUAUUUAGCACUUUUGCAUAAAUCCUAUAGUUAGUUUGUAUUAUAGAGUGUUCUCCUUUCCUCAUACAUCUACAAUGGAUAAAUUCAUCUUGUAUUCUCUUUUGAGAAGAUACAACUUUUUUAUUUUUUAUAUUUUUUUUUUUCUUUUUCGUAUGUUGAUUCGUGUUAAGUUGCUUUCUAAUUUAUUAUUUAUUAUUGACGUUAUGCUGCUAUUUAAGUUGCAUCAGUGUUACUUUUCCAAACUAGAUAGUUGCGCAGGCCACUGUAUUGUAUAUUUGUUUGAUAUUCUAAAAUGAUUAUUUCAGAUUUGAUAGGUUUCUAACCAUAGAAAAUUUUAUCACUGUUUUUUACAAAAUUACUUGGAACUCUAAUAGAAAAUUCUACUUAACACCAAUAAUAAAUCAAUACUUAUGAUUUAAAAUUUGAGUUUUUUAUUACUUUUUUUAUAAAAUUUUUAUUUUCAGCAGUUUAUUUUGAGGCUAAGUUGUUUUAAAUGACGCAGCUUUCAAAUCGACGAUCGGUUCUCUUAGACUUGAUCUACACUAUUAAAAAUAUUUAAAAAUUAAAUUUUAUAAUUUUUCGACAUUAUUUGGCUAGUUAUCGAAAGGUCUUAAAAUUGAUAAUUUUAAUGGUAGAUGUGAUGCGUUUAUGAAUUUAUCGGUGUAAAAGAAUCCAAAUCUGAUAAAAUUUAUAUAAAAUUUUUUUUUCACUAUUUAGACUAACAUCAGUAUCUCUGAUUUUAAAUUCAAGUCUUUUAUUAUUAUUUUUUAUAAAAUUUUUAUUUUUAAUUAUUUAUUCUAGACUACUCGUUUAAUAAUUCAAAAUAUUUACUAUAAAAAAUAAUUUAUGAGUACGAACCGCUGUAUACUUGGAAGAAUCCACACUCACGCCAAAAAGAGAAAGGACAAGGGAGAAAUAAUGCUAUUGCUUUACAGCCUGUUGAAUAGCGAUAUUUUUGUCACAUGGGAAAGCAUCCACUUUCUACAUAUUAUCUUUUGUUGGCUUGAUUAAACUGUGCUAUCAUAUAAUUUAUUUACAUUUGAUUAAAGUUUAUUUAGCUCUCAACCUUUUAAGCGUGACGUUUAAAACUUAAAAAAUCUUAAAAAAUAAAAAUUACAACUAAUUAAAGUUUAAGAAUUAGAAGACGUAAAUAAAAAUUACAACUAAUUAAAGUUUGAGAAUUAAAAGACGUCUUCAAGAUAGGAAUUUGGGUGGGUGACAUGAGAUUUUCAACGUGUUGGGCCCCACACGGUGAAAAACAACGGACUUUGUUAGUCGCAGAGAAGUUACGCAGAAACUCCUACAUUAUUGGCUGUUCAAUACUAUUGGGUCAUCCCUUUUGGUCUUUCAUUGUGUUCAUCUGAUCAUUUGAGAAAGAACUAGAGAGCUAGCUACACAGGAAACAUGGCUUUGGCCUUUGUGGCUCAGUCCGCGGCGUCGGUCGUAAUCGAGAAGCUGAUCAGCACGGCCGUGUCCUACGUCGGGACAUGCGGCGCGGGGCCGAGCGCCAUGCAGAACGAGAUCCAGAGGCUUCAGCAGGCUUUUCCGCGGAUUCAAGCAAUUUUGGAUAUGGUCGAGGGGGGGCAGACAGUCGAUACAAAGCAAAACAAGGGGCUGGACGCCUGGCUGUGGCAACUCAGAGACGCUGUGGAUCAGGCGGAGGACGUGCUCGAUGAGAUGGAGUACUACAAGCUGGAGAAGGCAGUGCAAGCUGAAGAUAACAAGGUACUGUUGGGUCUGGAAUUUUAUUUAAUUUUACAGAAAUUUUAUUAAAUCAACAAACAAAUAAAUAUUAAAUUAAAGACGAAAUUAAAUUAAAAGAUAAAGGGUUUGGAAAAAUAGCUAGAUGAGACGUGUAAUGCACUAUCCGAGAGUACUUUAGUCCCUCUACGUGCUUGUCUUCGUCUAGUUGCUUAGGGGUGUAAUAUGGACCAGGACGCACGGGCCCUUACUUUAGUCCCUCUACGUGCUCACAUUAACCGGGCCAAAACAGGCUAGGGCCCGGCCUGGCCUAGCCCGAACCCGAGCUACCUAGCCUCGGGCCCGGACCGCCCCUUUGGCCCAGGACGCACGGGCCGUCUCGGGCUGGACCGUGCUUCUGGCCUGCCUCUUAAAGAAUUUAUUUUUAAAUUUUUUUAAAAAAAUUAGUAUAAAAUAUAAAAAUAUAAGCAAUAAAUAUUUUAAUUUAAAUUAAUAUUUUAAUUAAAUCAUUAAAAAUAAUUAUAACAUUGUAAAUUUUUAAUUUUUUUUAAAAAUAAAUAAAAUUAUAUUAUUUUUCUGAAAAAAAAAAAAAAGAGAUGGGUUUUGGUCCAAUGGACCAAAUAACUCCCGAGAGGUCCUCGGGAAGAGCUCAGACCCUAAGGGCCUUGGGGUCCCAGCCGAGCUGGCCCGGCUGGCACGCGGGCCGUGCCGUGUCUUACCGCCUACGUCUUCUCAGCCCGGCACGGCCCAGGCCCAUUCCGAGCCGUGCUGGGCCGUGGGGACUCAGAGCGGAGGCCCAGCAUGGCCCAAAAUCUCAGGCCGGCCUAGUCCGGCACAGGGGCUACCGUAUCUGUGCCGAGCUGUAACCCGGCCCGAGGCCGUGCUAGGUUGAACGGCCCACGUGCCGCUCGGCCCGUUUUACAUCCCUAUAGUUGCUCUAGCAACACAACACCUCAGAUUAUCCCGAUCUGCUUGAUUGUACGAGUCUCAAAAAAGUGCUCGAGUGACUGUCAAUUCAGCAUUUUUUUUUAGUCGGCAUUUUUUUUUAGUUAGGAUCUGGUAUAUAUCUUUGUUUUAUUGUCUUUUUUAUAAUAUAUAAAGUUGACUGUCGAAAGAACAUUGUAGGAUGUUCCACUAAAGAGGAAUACAUGAUCCCGCAUCUCGUAAAAAACGGUGUACCCCGUUUUUCGGAUAGAGGAGAGAGAGAAUACGUCGCGUAACUUCCUCAUAUUAAAUAUAUUGUAUUUAAAUUAAGUAUUAAAUUAAAUCUUUUAAUUAUCUAUUUGAUUUAAAUUAAAAUUUUAACUUAAACUAAUUCCAACAGGUACAACAAGGUACAGCACUCACCUUAAAAAGGAAGUUUGCUGAUUUUGCUAACAAUAUCUUCGGAAAUGACGACACCUUGACGAGGUUGAGGGAGGCCGUGAAGGCGUUAGAUAAUGUUGCUGCUGCUAGUGAAACUUUACAUCAACUUGUUUGGCAGCUAUACAAUUCGGAUGGUAAGCGUCAACAGGAAAAUGAGAUACGAAAUGUCCGUGAGACUACCUACUUAUUAACUGAGGAUACGAUGUUUGGUCGAGACAGGGAGAAGGAAAGGAUAGUUGAAUGGUUAACAAAACCGACAAGCGAUGAGCCGGAGAAUGCUUCUGCAGCUGUCGGAAAGGUCUCGGCUUUUACGAUCGUUGGCAUGGGUGGGUUGGGAAAAACCACUCUCGCGCAGUUCAUCUACCACGAUGAGAAAGUGCGGCAUUGUUUCGACUUGGUUAUGUGGGUGUGUGUUUCCGAUCAAUUUGAUGUGACUAUGCUGACAAGAAAGAUCUUGGAAGCGGCAAAGGUUGGGGAUAGCCCUGGCGACAAGUGCUGCCUUAAUACAAUUCAAGAUUUUCUUAAAAAGGAGCUGAUCUCGAAGAAGUUUCUUCUAGUGUUGGAUGAUGUUUGGAAUGAUGAUAAAAUACUUGAAUGGAAUAAAUUGGUGGCUCCUUUAAAAUUCGGAAAGAAAGGAAGCAAGAUUCUCUUGACAACGCGAAUGGAUUCAGUGGUGAAAAGAGUAGCCAAUGUUUUACAAUGUAAAGAAGAAUUUUUAAAAUUGAGUGGGUUAGAAAAAGAUGAUUUUAUGCAUCUUUUCAAUACGCAUGCAUUUGCCGGAGAGGAUAUUGACCAUCAUGUAAACCUAAAAUUGAUUGGAGAGCAAAUAGCAGAGAAGCUUGGAGGAUGCCCGUUGGCAGCAAAAAUUUUGGGCGGAUAUUUGAACUCUCGCAUGGAUGAAAAAUACUGGAGAAAAAUUUUGAAUAAAAAUUUUCUAAAUUUGCAAGAAAGUAAGGAUAACAUUACGAUGAUUCUGAGAUUGAGCUAUGAUCAUCUGCUGGAAAGCUUGCAAAUUUGCUUCAGAUACUGCAGUAUAUUUCCUAAGGAUUAUGAGUUCAAGAAGAAUGAGCUUAUCCAUUUGUGGAUAGGUUCUGGGUUAAUCAAGCAACCAACACAUGAAAAGGAAAGCUUAGAGGAUAUCGGAGAGGAGUAUUUAAACCAUCUAGCAAGAAAAUCCCUUUUUGAUAUCAAAAUAAGGGAGUAUGGUUCUGAUUGUGAACAGCGUUAUGUCAUGCAUGAUCUAUUGCAUGAUCUAGGUCAGCUUGUCUCUUCAGGUGAAUGUUUGGGAAUUGAAGGUGAUGGUUCUGGAGAUAUUCCCAAAACAAUCCGCCACAUAUAUGUCCGCAUGAACAAGGUAAACCCUGAUAUGAUCUCCCAUCUCAAGAACUUACGGACCCUUAUUAUUUAUUUAAAUGAGAAUUUCACUUCAGUAGCUUUUAAUGAGGUUCUAAAAGAGUUAAAAAGCUUACGCUUACUAAGAGUGACUUUAUAUGGCAAUAAGUUUCCAGAUGAAGUUGGUAAACUCAUUCACCUCCGCUACCUCUCCCUCUCCCUCUCUUCACAGGCUUGCAGAGGAAAUGAGAUAUAUGUUCUACCUCAAUAUGUGUGCAGACUCUAUCACCUAGAAGUAAUCAAGCUUUCGGAAUCAAUUAAAAUGUAUCAUUCGGUAUGGGAUAGAAUGAGCAAUCUUGUUAAAUUGAGGCUGCUAAGUUCUCCUUAUGCUAGAAUGGACGAGAUUCCUUGGAUUGGCAAACUAACAUCACUCCAGGAGUUACGCAAUUUCCGUGUCCGUGAGGAGUGUGGCUAUAAGAUAGAUCAAUUAAAAAACCUGCAAAACCUCCGAAAACUAGGCAUUGAGAGUCUGGAAAAUGUAAGGAGUUCUGAAGAGGCUGCGGAUGCCAACUUGAUUGAGAAAAAAAAUCUUGAUAAAUUAUCACUCGAUUGGUCUACGAAUCGCUCUGGUGGUCUAGAGGUAGAUGAGCCACUUCUUGAUCAUUUAAGACCACAUACCAAUCUCAAGGAAUUAGAAAUUGAAGGAUACGCCGGAGUUAGAUCUCCACAUUGGAUGACAGCGAUAUCUUCUCUUUCUUAUAUAAGGUCUAUCAAACUAUCCAAUUGUGAGAGAUGGGAGAACCUCCCAACUCUUGGGCAACUUCCUUCACUCAAGUUUCUUAAUUUAGAAAACAUGUGGGCUGUAAAGAAAUUAUGGUGCUCAACAAGUGUUGGCAGUUACGCCUUUCCAUCACUAGAGGAUCUUGAAUUGAAAAGUAUGCCAAACUUGGAGUUGUUCGAAGGCGAGCACAUGUUUCCUCGGCUUAAUGAAUUGAAAAUAACUUUUUGUCCAAGGUUGAAGGGUUUGCCUGCUUUGCCUCUUACUCUAAGUCUACUGGGGAUUCUUGAGGUCGGAUUGACUUCUCUUCCGAUGAUGCAACAAGACAGCUGCAGUAGCGGCCAAGGACGAGCAUCGUGCUCAUCAUCAUCGCAUCCGGCACUUUCUUACCUAGGAAUUAGUGAGUGCCCAAACCUCGCAUCUCUAGAUGGAUUCAUGUCGCAGCAGCAAUAUUUUCCAGUCUUGAAGAGUUUAUCCAUUAUAGGAUGUGAAAAUCUAAGGCAUUUGCCGAGAAAAUUCUUCCAAAAACUUCCCCUCAUCGAGCGUUUGACUAUAGAAAUGUGUCCCAAUCUCACGACGCUCGGGCUUCUAGAUAAUCUAUUGCCCGAGACACUUGUAAGGCAGGAGUCAUUGCCAAAACUGACGUCCCGUCCUCGGCUGGAAGUUUAUCCACAAUUGUUGAAACUCCGCAUCCGGAAUUGUAAAGAGCUGUCGUCACUGGAUGGGCUACAAGAUCUCCCCUCGCUCAUUGAGUUGCACAUUGAAGGAUGCGACAAGCUCAUCAAACUUUCACUAGGCGUCACUAGUACCAGCCACACAGAUAUGGUGCUGCGCCCUCCAAUGGAGAAGCUUCGUGAUCUUAAAAUCCGGUACUGUAAAGAGCUGUCGUCACUGGAUGGGCUACAAGAUCUCCCCUCGCUCAAAUCCUUGACCAUUCACGGAUGCGACAAGCUCAUCGAAUUAGGCGUCACUAGUACCAGCCACACAGAUAUGGUGCUUAGUGCUCUUCACAUCGACCGGCAUGCUUACUUGCGUCUCGAACCACUGAGGAGCCUCAGCUCUGUUAGCAAACUCCGCAUAUUUGAUGGCACUGGAGAAUUCACAUCCCUCGACGAGCAAUGGCUGUUGCAAAACCGAAACUCCCUUGAACAGCUAGAAAUUUCUCGGGCCUCGUCUCUUGAAUCCUUACCAACCAGUAUGAUAGAUCUUCAAGCCCUGCGUCAUUUGACUAUAAUGAAUGCUCCUUUGCUGCGAUCGAUUCCAGAACUACCCACCUCAAUGGAAUCUCUAACAAUUUGGGCCCAUACACGGGAAUUGAAGGAGUGCAUAGAAGGCUCUGGAAAAUUCGCCAAUAUUCCUCACGUGGAGGUUUAUUAAAAAUCUCCUUCAGAAAAAGAUCAGGUAUGUCCCGUCCCUUUACUUCUCUCCAACUCUCUUAAAUGCAACAUUUUCUUCUCAAUAUUAUUUGCAUCUUAGGCUUGUUUGACCCUGCCUUCUUUUUUUUUUCGCCUACUUUCAGUAAUAACAGCCUCUAAUAAAGUUUUCUCAAAAACAGCCUCUAAUAAAGCAUUUGUUAGAUAAGUAUAUUUUUAUAUUAUUUAUUACCUUAAUUAUUAAUUAAAUAGAUUGAAAUAAAAAAUUUAAUAAUAAAAAUAAUUUAAAUUGGUUUAUGUACAACAUAAUUUUUUGUAAAAACUUAUUAAUAAUUAAAUUAUUUUAUAAAGACAUGUAUGGAAAAAAAAAGGAGAGAGGAAAUGAUUAAAAUAAUUUAAAANAAAAAUGAGAGAGAAAGCUAUUAAAAUAAUUUUUAAAAAAUAUAUAUAUAAAUUUAAAUUUUAGUUAAUUUAAUAUAUCUAUAUUAACUAUUAGUUAUUAGUUAUUUAAUUUUAUUUCAUAAAAAAUAAUUAUAAUUAUUUGAAUUUCGUCAAAUUUUAUAUAAAAUUUAAAAAACAUUUUCUUUAGUUAACAAAAAUUAAUCAUAAAAUCUUUAAAAAAAUCAGUCGAAAAAAUAAAUUUGAGGGGCCUAUUUCAAGCAUCCUAAAUAGUAGAGGUGUUCUUCACACGGUUUUUACCCUUCCUUUUUUUUUUGUAAGAAUUUAUAGAAACUUCCUAAUUUUUUGUUUUUGGACUUUAGUUAUUUUUGUUGGUUUAAAAGAGCUAACAUUUUACUCUAUAGUGGGAGGUCAGAUUGGACCUAGUCACAUUCGAAAUUGCAUGAGACUGGGUUGGACCGAGUCAUGUUCCAAAUAAUGUGAGUCUGGUUGAAUCGAGUCACAAUCAAGACCCGUGGGUGCUUUAUAUGUAUGCUUUAACUAAAUUGAUUGUGUAUAAAUUAACGGCGAGUGCGGAUAAACAAGAAAGUGACACUUCCGUCAAUGACAUUAGAGUUGGAUUGUUGGAUUAGUUGAAUUUUCUCAUCAAAGAGAAAAAAAAAAGAUUGGUUUAAUCAUUCAGUACUCCACAUUUUUUAUCUAAUAAUUUAGCAUUGGUUUAGUACAUUUUUUUUAUGUAAAAGAUUGGUUUAAUCAUUUAGUCGAGCUAUCGGCCCUUGGCCCGGUUAUUCUUAACAGGAAUGGCCGUGGAGCGAGUUACUGCCUGCUGGAUUUGAACGCCCAUCCGCUUGUCAGCAACUGUGAUCCGAAACCAGUUCUAGAAGAAGAGGGAGCCGACAAGACUGACAGUCAGCCAACUCCGACUUUAUGUUUUUAAGUGAAUUGGUUGUGUACAAAUUAACGGCACAUUUGCAUAAAUGAGAAAGUGACACUUUGAUCAAUAAUAUAUAUAUAUUUUUUUUUGAGAAAUAGAUAGCACACUUUGAUCAAUAAUAUUAAAAGUUGGAUUGUUGGAUUAGUUGAAUUUUCUCCUCAAAAAGAAAAAAAAAAAGGAAGAAAGAGGACUGGUUGAAUCAUUCAAUACUUCACAUUUUUUAUCUAAUAAUUUAGUACCUUUGCAUAAAUCAUAAAGUUAAUUUGUAUUAUAUAUUGUUCUCGUUUUAUUGUACAUCUGUGAUAGAUAUAUUCUUUUUUAGAGAUGAUACAAAGUUUUUUGCUUUUUCUCUUUUUUUAUUUUCUGUAUGUGUACUUGUAUUAAGUUGCUUUCUAGUUGCCUGAUCAUAUGUUGCCAUAGAAGUUGCAUCAGUGUUUUUUCCAAAGUAGGUAGUUGUGUAGGUCACGGUACAGUAUAUUUGUUUGAAAUUCUAAAAAUGUUUUUUUCCCCAGAUUGAUAGACCUUUAAGCUACGAAAAUUUUGUACAACCCUUUAUAUUAUGGAAUGCAUGAUUGAUAUGUUUAUGUUUCAAUAACAGCAUGAGCGUUUACUCACCUUCAAAUUUGGAGCUCGAUCAAAUUUAUGAUCAAGUGGAGCUGAUUGCAGAACAGAAAAUAUGAAAGCAUCGGCGGAGUUCUGCUUUGACAAAGUUCACCUUUUAUGUUGUAAUUGCUUGAUGAAGUUCAAAGUAGUUUAUUAUUAUGUUUUAUAUAUUUAUUUUCUCUUUAAGUUCCUUAAUUUACUGUGAUAUUCUGGUACUAUGUUUGAUAGCAGAUUUAUUAGCUUGCUUUCUUCUGCAGUCGGCUUCAGUGGACAAAGCAUGAAGGAGCUCUUUCUGUAUCAUUUCUAGCUAUUUCUACCAUUGUUUGUUCAAGCUUGUUGUUGCUACUAUAAUAGCUGUACUAUUUUUUUUUUUUUUUUUUUAAUGCAGUGGAAGUGACUUGUAAGUUGUAAUACAACACAGAAAAACCGGAGCAUCUAGAAAGUUUUUUCCAAGCGAAGUUGUGCUGUAUUGUUAAUUUAGUCACUUUGAUUUACAAUAAAUGUAAAAUUGAGAUGUUAUUUUUACUUCCAUAAUUGAGUUCAUUGUUUCCACACAUCUCAUGUCCUGCUCAAAACUUACGCAAGGUUUCCAGUUCUAAAAGCUUAAGUGAGUAUAUAAUAAAUAUGUGAUGUUGCUUUUGAAGAAGAUGCUGUGUUAGUAACCUUAGUAAUCUUUUACCUAAGGUAUUCAUUCACAAGUAGCUCGAGUUUGAUUCAAAAUUGAAUAAGCAAACCUCGAGGUUGGCUCAAUCGUAAACAAGCCGAGCGUGACCGAGCAAAGUUUUUCAAUAAAUGCCCUCAAAGUUACAAGCAUACCAAGCAAAAAUUCUUUAUAUACAACACCAAAACCACAACACAAAAUGCUUAGCAAUAAAGAGAGGGAAAAAAAGAAGAAGAAGAAGCACCUACAGUCAAAGUAGCAACACAGAAUGCAAGGCGGUUGAAUCGUGAUCAGUUCCAAAUCCGAAGGCGUGGAUCGGAAUUCUUUGGCCUGAGCCAUGAAGAAUGGAUAACGGGAUAAGCAGCCCGUAGUCUAUAGAGGCUCCGCUAUUGUUAGAGGAGA
This 40860-nucleotide long non-coding RNA is filed under the name Ananas comosus (pineapple). RNAcentral's name for it is "long non-coding RNA (ACOM_LNC015637)". Lineage: Eukaryota; Viridiplantae; Streptophyta; Magnoliopsida; Poales; Bromeliaceae. The record is from RNAcentral.